This 795-nucleotide ribosomal RNA is filed under the name uncultured bacterium. RNAcentral describes it as "bacterial SSU rRNA". It matches the Rfam family "Bacterial small subunit ribosomal RNA", at positions 42 to 834 of the family's 1533-position model. The record is from RNAcentral.
GCAGGCCUAACACAUGCAAGUCGAGCGGUAACAUUUCUAGCUUGCUAGAAGAUGACGAGCGGCGGACGGGUGAGUAAUGCUUGGGAACAUGCCUUGAGGUGGGGGACAACAGUUGGAAACGACUGCUAAUACCGCAUAAUGUCUACGGACCAAAGGGGGCUUCGGCUCUCGCCUUUAGAUUGGCCCAAGUGGGAUUAGCUAGUUGGUGAGGUAAUGGCUCACCAAGGCGACGAUCCCUAGCUGGUUUGAGAGGAUGAUCAGCCACACUGGGACUGAGACACGGCCCAGACUCCUACGGGAGGCAGCAGUGGGGAAUAUUGCACAAUGGGCGCAAGCCUGAUGCAGCCAUGCCGCGUGUGUGAAGAAGGCCUUCGGGUUGUAAAGCACUUUCAGUCAGGAGGAAAGGUUAGUAGUUAAUACCUGCUAGCUGUGACGUUACUGACAGAAGAAGCACCGGCUAACUCCGUGCCAGCAGCCGCGGUAAUACGGAGGGUGCGAGCGUUAAUCGGAAUUACUGGGCGUAAAGCGUACGCAGGCGGUUUGUUAAGCGAGAUGUGAAAGCCCCGGGCUCAACCUGGGAACUGCAUUUCGAACUGGCAAACUAGAGUGUGAUAGAGGGUGGUAGAAUUUCAGGUGUAGCGGUGAAAUGCGUAGAGAUCUGAAGGAAUACCGAUGGCGAAGGCAGCCACCUGGGUCAACACUGACGCUCAUGUACGAAAGCGUGGGGAGCAAACAGGAUUAGAUACCCUGAUAGUCCACGCCGUAAACGAUGUCUACUAGAAGCUCGGAACCUCG